Long non-coding RNA from Equus caballus (horse), 13308 nucleotides. RefSeq lists it as uncharacterized. The record is from RefSeq and is a predicted model, not a curated record. NCBI's taxonomy places the organism in Eukaryota, Metazoa, Chordata, Mammalia, Perissodactyla, Equidae.
AUGGCUUGAUGAGCAAUGCAUAGGUCUGCACCUGGGGUCCAAACCCAUGAACCUCAGGCUGCCGAAGCAGAGUGCACAAACUUAACCACUAUGCCACCAAGCCUGCCCCCACCACCGACGUUUAAAAUCAGAUACCAUGGGAAGAAAUUACUCAUGUUUUGAGGAGCUUAAAAUCUGAGAGUGGUGGGAGGAGACAAAUGUACCUACACUCACAAAUGGCUUCUGCAGGUCAGUUUCAUGAGAUUGCAGAUGAAGCAACAAGGAGAUCACGACAGCUCUAGGUCCCCAGGGCCUUUCCUGAGGUGAGCUUGAUCUAUCCAAGUGAACCCCUGGAAGUCUCAGCUUUGGCAAGACCAGAUCCCAGAGACCAGGAUUUCCAUUGCCCUGGAUCUGUCACCACUGGCCAGCCCCCAGGCCACCAUAUAGCCUCAGAAAAUUUGCCAAUGGAACCAAAAUUUUCUCUCAGUGGUUUUCAAGGUAUCAAAGUGGUUUUCAGAGCAUCAUUUCAAAAUUAAGCCCAAGACACACAAUUAAAUCAAGAUAACUGAAAGGAAAAAAGAAUUUUCAAAUAAACAGUUUUAUAAUUAUGAGUCUGGCUUCACAGUGAAUCACAUAUCCAUUAUAAUACUAAUGUUGAACAAAAUUUACAUUUGCAUGGUAUGUUUUGUUGUUACCAAAGGAUGAUACGUUAUCACUAGAUCUCUGGGGGCGUGAUUCACUCUGAACUAUUCAUUGAAUCCCUGACAUCACAAGGGCUCGAUGAGAAUUUUCCUCUUGAUAGCUCUUUUUACAAAACUGGCUUCUUGCAACUUGUAUGCAACAAUUAUGUACCAAGUGAGGGUAAUGCUAUGAACUACAGCAAAAACCUUGAAUCACUUAUUUUUACAACAGAUUUUCCCAAGGCAAAAUCUUUGACAUGUCCUUGAGCUGUCAUGGGAAUGACACAAAUCUGAGCUCAGGCCUUGGCCCUCCCUCAUGGUGUUUCCCCUCCCCUAUUCCGUCUCAAGUUCAAGAGCUCUCCUCACUGCCUGACUCCUCUCAUUCUCUCUGUCCUCUUGGUCAGAGGGUCAUUUCCUACCAGCCCAGCAGCUUCUCCACACAGAGUGUUGGAGGCAACAUGGGUUACUUUAUUUUUGAAACUUGCUGCUGUGAUGUGAUAGAAUUUUUAUUUAUAACAUAAUGUGUGCAUAUUAGCACCGUGAUAUGUAUUUCCCAUGACCUGGUUCUUAAUGUCUAUCAUCGAACUUCCUGGAUGGGAAACUCUGCUGGCAUCUUAAUAUAGCUUUUAAAAAAUGCUGAGCAUAUAAAAUUAAUCAUUGUUGUUUAUCCUUCACUUGACACCGUGUUCAGCAGUCACCACUUUGCACAGCAGUCAUUAACGAUGUCAUUCUAGGAAAGGAAGUAAAGGUAAACUGCAUGAGGAAGAAAAGAACACAAGGAAAAAGUUUCCAAAAGGCAAAUUUGCUAGGAAGUUAGCUUAAUAGUUGCAUUUUUUAAAUUCUAAACAAAAAAAACACUACUCCUUGCCUGCUAGCUCAAUUUUAGCUCAUCUGUCUCUCAACCCCAAAGUGUUAUGUGGCUUUAGUCUUCCUAUAUGUCCUAAAGUUCAGGUUGGUCCCAGGUGGCUUGAGAGAGUGUUCAGAUUCUGUGCUCUGUUUGAAAAUUGUUUGCAAGAUCUGCAUUGCUGAAGUAAAGAUCCUGGUUUCUGUAUAAUGUUAACCAAAGAAAAAUAUUAGAAAACAUUUCAGAGAAUAAAAAAAAGAGUCCUUGGACCUGUCAUUUAUUUUUAAUUGGAAUUGAAUUAAAUAAGUGGUUAACUUCACAAAACUGAGAAAUACUGCCAUUCACGAUCUAUUUUCCCUCUUUAAGAGUCAGAAGGAGGCCUCGGAUCUGGGGAGAAAAUCUUCGGGCUCAUUAAACCUCACAGUUUGUUCUACCUGGACCUCAUCUGCCCAGCUACAGGAGCUUCCAUGGCCCAGCAGUUUCCACCGAAUAGUUCAGGAGCCAGUGUUCACUCUUUGCAAUGGUGAGCCUCCAGUGAUUUCAGCUGUCAAGUGUCGCUGAUCCCCAGAUUCCUACGAAGGACAUAGGCAAAGCUUGUAGUCUUCCCUUCCGAAUUUAAUUUAAGCUGCAUGUGUAAUAGAGAUGCAUCACUCGUAUGGAUAGCAGCAACUAAGAAGAAUGAAUAAGUCAGUCAAAUAUGAAGUGCAAAGCAAUUUCAUUCCUUAAAAAACUACAAGAUAGAACAAAGCAUCCACAUCUUUUGCCAGCUGUCUUUGGAAAACUGCUCUGUUUGCUCAUGCGCAGAAAAAAGCCAAGCCUGCGACGGUAUUGACAAGAGCAAGAUGAAUGACCCCCUGAAGACCAUAGGGAGGAGUGCAGUGACCGUCAGUGCUGCCAGAAGAAAAGUAUUUGGCAUCUCAUUGUAAAAGUAGGAUGCACAGCAGAAAAACUUAGCCAACUUUAUCUCUCUGCCCCACUCCCGGUUUCAGAUUCCGGAGGAAGAAGCUGGCCCCAAUCGAGUGUGAGAAUAAUCAGCCGUGGUGUAGGCAUGGCAGCUGUGAGCUGGAGAAGUCACCCCAACUGGGAUCUGUGACAGGUGGUCAGGGGGUGGCCAAAGGGUACAGGGCCUCAGUGGCUGGACUGGGGUUGGGUGGGGCCAGAGAGCAGGAGCAAAGAAGCAGACUUGGGUGUGGCCUAGCCCAGAGCAGUGGAUCUCAAACCAUUUUGUCUAAGGAUCUCUUUACAUCCUUAAAAAUUAUUGAGAAUCCCACAAAGGCCCAGGUGCCUAUAUCAAUCAAUGUCAGCCUCAUUAGAAAUUAAAACUGAGACAUUUUUUAAGACCCAAGAACAAAAGUAGGCAUGCCACUAGCUGUCACAGUGAUGAUGUCACCACACCUCAGGCAGCCUCUGGAAGACUCACUGUAUACAUCCGGGAGUGGGCGGGAAGAAGGUCCCUAACAUCUUAGUGUUAUAAUUUAGUUAGUUCUGACCUUGGAGACCUCUGAAAGGGCCUCCACUCGCCUGGAUGCACGUGGGGAUCUGCUGCAUGGUGGUUCAGAAUGUGGACACAUGGCAAGACUGCCGAGUUUGGAACCUGGCUCUAACACAAUUUACCCUCUCAGUGCCUCCAUGUCCUCAUCUGAGAGGGGCUGAGGAAUGGGACCUCCUCACAGGGGCUGUAGGGAGGGGUAGAAGGGCAUCUGGCACUAGGAUGUAGUCACAGCAUUCUGGCUCUGAUGAGGCGCAGGGCCAGCACAGCUGCUGGGACAGCUGGACGUACAGGCAACCCCAGGGCACCGGAUCCGGGUCUGAUGGGCGGGACAGGAGCCUGAGCACUGGCCUUGGGACCCAGACUCAAUGCUAGGGCUUCUGGCUCCCUGAGGAGGUCUAGUGCCAAGUUUCCCCACUGGGAGGAGGCUCAGCCCUGGCCCCGGAGUCUGAGGGAGCUGCCAUGUGCUAGGGGGACCUCCGUGGGCUUUGUUCUCAGGAGCGGGUGAAGUAACAGCCCGUGGAGAUGCGAUGCGAUCUGAUAUCUCAGCAAAGACAACUCUCAAAAGAAUAUCUUUUUUUAUGGUAUGCAUGAUUUGUAUUGCUGAUACACGUAUUUCUCUGCAUCAAUCAAUAAAAAGAUGAAAUUGGGCCAAUUUAUGAAUAUUUCAUACAUAACAAAUCUAGGUUUUUAAUGCUCAAAAAACUGAUAAAAAGUCUGUCGAUAUGUCUCCAACCUGGAUCCUUCUCAGGGCAUCACGUGGAGACAGGUUCUGCCACCAGCCUGUGCCUGCAUCACCCCAGCCUCUAACUCCAGGUCCAGUCACCCAAGGACACAGGACUUCAGCUUCCUUCCCGUGAGAACCAGAGGCCUGGGUCAUCCAGGUCACUCUGAGGUUGGGGACGUAGGACAAACCAACCGACGGAUCCUAUGGAACGGGCUGGGAGAGGGGAUGCUGGAGGAGCUCACGCACACACGAAUGACACGAAAGCCACACACUCCAGUGGUCACGUGGACUGCCCUUAAAAACUGCCCUGUGAUAUGACUGUAUGAUUCUUACUUGAAGAAUAACUACGAUCAAACAAAGAGGGCAAGGGAAGAACGUAUUUCCCAAAUGCCCGUGAGUCAAGGGGCAAUCCCUCCAUGAUCAGUCCAUCCCCCCAAACCACAAGGGGAUGUGCUCCCUGAGAUCCCAGCAGCACCUGCAAGUCUUGCAGUCCUCCUGCUGUGGUCCUCCUCAUCCUGGGCCCCCUCCCGCCCACUCCCCCCAUGCUCUCUGGUUUCCUUCCUUCAAUGGGGCCAUUCUUCGUCCUUAACGCCCCAGCACUGUGGGGCAAUUAUUUGUUGAGUGGUAGCAGCACUUCCAACGCAGCCAUGCCCACAGGGCGGCCCUCAGUCUCACUUCACUGCCUCAGCGGCCUUUUAUUUACUAACUAGGGUUACCAUCCCCAGUUUUCAGCAAGAGCCAGCCCAGAGCCACUGGCUCACCCCUCAUAAUCACAAAAGCGGAAGGAGUUGUGGAAGCCGUCUAUUUCAGCUUCUUCAUUUACAGCCGAGGACACACACUGGAGCAGUUCAGGAUUUAGUCAAGACCACGUGGAGAACAAGGAGGACAUUUCUGAGCCUGUGACCACGUGCCUGGCAGUGAGGGGCCGUGAUCUCUUCUCUCUCUUCGUGUGCCUUUUGUUCAACUGCGGCCCUUGGAGCAGGCAGAAAAGAUCCAUUUCUAGUUUUGUAAUAUGCUUUGCAACCCCAGAGAGAAAGAGCCUUACCUAAAUAAACAGGGAAGUCAAUAUGUUUGAAAAGACAUUAACGGUAUUUGUCCUCCUGUAACACGAGCUGGCUUCUCUCUGCUGUUCUCCGAAGUCUUGUUCCUGUGAAUACGUGCUGGGUGCUGGACGGCUCUCUGAAGCCUGAGAUGUCAGCUGACAAGGGAUUUGGGAGAUUUGUGUAAUAAUAAGGGACUCUUGAAGGCCAAAGUGUUCUCAACACUCGAAGGAAUGAAGUUAGGAAAGUGGAAAAUUAAACUCACUGCUGCUAAAUUCCACCGAGGUCCCCUCAGGCCCAUAACUGGGCUGUGUUUGGGGUGCGGGCCCAGCCAGGACUCAGCUGACUUCCCAGAUCACACCACUGUGUGAGCACCCAGCAGAAAGGCUUACUCGACUGCCAAGAGGCACAGAAUGUGAGGGCUCACCUCACCUGGGUUACUCUAGUCACCUGGGACCAGAGAGAUGAAGUAUUUUCUUUGGGUCACACAGCUUAUGAGUGGCAGAGCCAGAGUCUCUAGAAGUUCCUGGUGUCUCAGUCCAGUGCUCUUUCCACUAAUGGAGCCUGCUCCUCAGAUCCCACUGCUGCUGGGGACAAAACUAGCUGUGACCUUGGGUCAACGUGGCACCAGGUCGUGAGUCAGUCCUUCGGGGAUGUGGCCCACUCUGCGCAGCCCUGUGUGACAGAAGGACUCAAACCCACACAUCUGCUCCUGUCAUCUCCUUCUUCAAAAUUCUUCAGCGCUUGCCCUGCCCAUUCAUGUUUCUCAUCCUCGAUCACACAUAACGGCUCGUCUGCCUGAAGUAAUGAUUUUAAAUCUCUAGGGGAAAAAGACCUCAUCAUUGUUUUUUAUUUUAAUUAUGAAAAGAAACAAAACUUGCUUGACUUUUUAGGACAAUGCAGGAACUUAGGCUUUUUCAGACUAUUGCUUCCCAAUACGGGGAACUGAGUUUCGUUCCCUCUAGUGUUGGGGCCAUUUCAAGGGAAGUUUAAGGAGCCCCAAAACAGGACCAAACCUAAGCUCAUGAUGGCCUAUAAAGUCCACAAUUUGACCCUUACCUAUACAUCCAGAUUCCUCCCCGUCUACCCCAAGCAGACAAGGCCAUACUGAAUCACCUGGGAUUUUCCAGACUCGCUGUGUGCUCUCCUACCCCCAUGUGCUUGCUCACAUGGUACCUUCAGCUCAGGUUGUCUCAACCUGGCCACUGUUACCAUUUGGGGCUGGAUUUUUUGAGGGGGCUGUCCGUACCUUGUAGCAGCAUCUCUAGCUGGCUUCUACCCCACUAGAGGCCAGUAAUACCCCCAAGUCAUGACAAUCAAAAAUGUUUCCAGACAUUGCCAAAUGAUACCUGGGCGGUAACCACCGCUCAAGAGGAAUGGACUUCUUGACACUCGUCUGUCUAGCAUCAACUCGUCUUUCAUGCAUCAACUCAAAUAUCAUGUCCACCUUGAAGCCUUUGGAACUGCUCCAGGCAGAACUAGAUGUCUUCUCUCUGCUGAUCCUGAGCCUUAGAGAUUUGCACCUCCAUUUGGUGCUUAUGCUAUGGGAGUGUAAUUGUUUGUCUCCCCUCUGUGCCAAUUAGAUCGUGAAAUCUCAGACUUCAAGGAUUAUGCCUCCAAAUCUAUAUUCUUAAGUCCUGAGCACUUAGUACAAUAUCUGACCCAUAGAAAGUGUUGAAGAAAGGUUGGCUGAAUGGACGGUCUGCCAUUCUAGGCUGGUACUUUCUGGUGAUGACUCCUCAAAGACACAUCUCGAUUGUCCUCUCAUCUAAGUUCUCCUAAGAAACUCAGCCAUUGGCAUAAUCACAGCAUCACAAUGUCACUUGAUUCUUGCUUGAAAAAUAACUUUGCCAAGGCAAUAACCCAGAUUUUGUUAAUAGUCAUACUAAUAGUAGUGUUAGAGCUAUGAUAGCAGCUGCUGCCAUUUAAGGGUCUUCUCCAUGUCCUGCCAGCUGUUUUCACCCUAAGUACUAAAAUUAUAACAUUUCUGUGAGCUCUGUCUUACUAUUCCCUUUUACAGGUGGGAAAACUGAGGCUCUGAGAAUUUAGUUUGCAAACUCAGCAUCCUGGUGGCCCUAGGAUUAUAUCCACGGCAGUUUGACUCCAAACCUCAGUCACUAACCUGUCUUUGAUUUCCAAAUUUUUAUUCUUAAGAGUGAUUCUCAAAAAGCAGUCAUAUAAAAAUCUCUACAGCUCCAGUGCGCCAGAUGAACGGGUUACUGAUGCUCUGCCGUCAUCUGUGUCACUUCUUAUCAUGGCAAUGAACAUCAGAUUCUAUCAAAAUAGGGAAAAAAAUCAUUUUGAUGCAGGAUUUGCAUAUCCAAGGAUUGGAGGAUGGUUUGUAUAAUCAAAUUAUGUAGAGUUGUAAAAAGGGAGCAUCAUUUAAACAGCUUACAAAAUUACUUUGAAGAUGCACAUUAAAAUCUAAAGAACCCAUUGCCUCCAAGAUCUUUAGAAAAAGUUAAAUGCUAAUUGAUCAUGACAGCCUUGUUUUUAUCACUGGCAUCAUUCUCCAUUUCUACUUCGUCAAUAUCACAGCUCCAAUAUCACUCUAUCCUGUAUUCUUCUUCCGGCCACAAUCAUACCAUGCUAUAAUAACAGAUGGAAUUUAUGCACGAGUGAAUUUUCCCUCUCUCUCCCCAUAGUUGAUCAAAAGGAGCAGCCUGGAAAAAACCCCUGAAAUUUGCUGAAAUUCUGAUUUCUUUCAGCAGUUUUAUAGAUUUUAUAACUUAUCUUUUAUUGACUAUGCAAGGUCUCUGGUCCCCAGCAUCUGUUUGUUGCAUCUGGGGAGAAAGAUAAAUUCCCUUUUUUAUGCCACUGAACCAAAUUUAAGAGACAGACAAACACACAGGUCUUAAUCCAAGAGGACAGCCUCACAUCCCUCUUCCUCGCGCUGGCUAUCUUUCUCGGUCCUGUGUGGACAGGACAGGAGGAGGAGGAGGUGUCUUCUAGCCUGCGGGGUUUGUCAGCUUACGGAUGAAGGCACCAAAGACACACUGCUUAGGCUAAGAGUAGGUGCUCCCCUCAGAUAGGGGACCUGGAGAUGGUUGGUUAUGAGCUCAAGCUUUGGGGAGGCUGCUUUGUAUACAUAAAAAAUACCCUAUGCAUUAUUUACAAUUUCUCAGACUUAAAGAAUUGCACCUGGUCACCCAGAGAUAUGAUUAUACAUCACGGAACUUCAUUAUAAUAAUGGCUCUAGUACUCCAACUUCUUUAAAACCUCAGCUGUUCGAUUCAGCCUCUUCAGCUCCAUAACUGUUUAUAAGAUUAAUAGACUCUGAUGCAUAAUUGACUCUCCCAUCGGGAGAAGAAAAGAGAGAGCGUCUAAUCCUAGCCCUCACAAAAGUAACACUCCCGUGGUGACAUGGUGUCUAGACACAUGGACAGAUCAAGGUAGGGGAGAGAAUGGAGACGAGUAGAAGAGUCAGCCCUGGAGAAGGUGGUCUUGGAGGGUCACUCAUGCUCUCUUUUCACAGACGCUUGAUUGGACGGAGUUAAAAAUAGACUUCAUUGCAGGGCCCUUGGGACGGGAUCCAGCCGGGCAGGAGGGACUGAAGCCUGAGCUUGGAAGAGGCAACAAGGAGGACAGGGUUCCAACAAGGAAGGAAAUGGAAGUGGAUCCACAGAGGACUGGCCCAGGGGCUUCCAGUUUGGUGGCAGUGAAGCCCAGAGGGAGAAUGAUGCCUUGGGCUCCUCAUUCCCCUUCUGGGGUCACAGGAUGUUGCAGCAGGACCUGCAGAAGGACCCCCUCCAGUAGGACACGUGAGUCCUGCUUUCAAAGCAAAUACGAGCUGGUAAGGAUGGCAGGGCAAGUCUCCCUAAGUGAGGAGGAACUGGGAGCUGGGCCGUCACCAGUGUGGGCCCCAGAGAUUCAGGAAAUGCUUCUUGAAGGAGUUGAAGGUCAAAGGAAAUGAGGGCCUUGGGUGGGUGGAUGGGGGAGGAAGUCACCAUGACACAAGGGGAAGGUCAGGAGCCAGGCUCAGAGAGGGGAGAGCAGACUCACCAGUGGUGGGAAGGAGGUGUGCCUGGAUCAGCCAGGAUGGGAGCAGCCGGGAUGCCUGCUCAGCAUCUCAGGUCACCACUCAAAGUUCUAGACUUCCAUCCAGUGCAGCCCCUCAAGCAUAAGCAGUCUUCAUAUUGAACAGUCACUCAAUCACUUAGCAAUAGCUUCAAUAAAGGAAGGAGGUCUCAGUAAAAAAUGGAAACAGGAAGCAGAAUUUUCAUUGCUAGCCUAUCUUACUACUACUCUCCCUGUGUAACUGUGCCUCUUCUCUUGGCUUAUUUUAAUGUUCCAGAAAGAGCCUGUGUGGCUUGCAGUCUUAAGAAAAAUAAAAAUUUUUAAAAAGCAGAGCACAUGAUGAGAAGAGAUUGAAAUGGAGAGAAAGCCUUAUUUUCUACUCUUGAACGGUGAGGGUUUCACACGUAAAGAACCUCACUCUAUUGUUCGAGAGAAACGUCUGGAUUGAUCUUUCACUCAUCAGUUUGUGCUCUUCUCUCUUUGCCUUAAAUAACUGCUUUUUAGCUGGACAUCUGUGGCAUCUGCUUCUCCCCCAUCUCCUGGAAAACCCAGAGUGGGGUGCAAAGAUAAGUCUUAUCUCUCCUUUGGGUUUCCUCUUAACUGACCACCAAAUGACCCCAGGGGUGAAGAAGGAAGGUCAGGCCCAUAUUAAUGUGACCAUAAUUCACACAUUUGCUUGGUGAAAACCUGGUACAGGGGAAUAAAGGACUUGUAAUACAAUAUGGACUUGUAAGCUUCAUCGUUAUUUAGACAUGAACUUGCUCUUUCGUUCAUCUCUAGGAGACACGGCAUACUUUUAAAAGUGCAUUUUACAUCACAGAUUUAAAAGGCUACGUACUUACAGUUAGAUCCUUGACAUAAAGAACCCCUUCCCUGCCAUGUGAACUCUACACACAAUCCUUCCUAUCAUUUUCAGGGAAAAAGAAGCAGGGGCUGACAACAGAGAUGCCCAGGCUCAGUUUAUUGACUUCUAAGAACUAUUAACCUUUUGCAGAGAAGGAAAAAAACCCCUCGCUGUAUCUAGGGCCUGCUGGGUGCUAAUUUGACAUGGCAAUGAGAUAAAAGUUCAGCUCCAGCUGCUGUCAACCUCACCGGAUUGGAAUGCCGUCUACUUAGCAUAAGAGUCAAACAAUUCCCUGGCAAUAGAUUGCUUUCCACUUGUAGGUCUACUAAAUAAAUAGAAAAGUAAUUAACAGCACUCAAUGGCAGAUAUAUCAGGUGGAAUUUCAUUAGAGCAGAAGAACUGAGAGAAUCGAGAAAUCAUUUUGUGCCCCAUCGUCUGAUGAAGCUCUCAUGCUGCCUUUCCCUAGGAUGGAUGUGUUAUUUCUACUUUUCUUCAAGAAGAGAAAUUUCUGAAUCUCCUAUUAUAUCUUCACUUUGAUCAAUGGGCAAAGAAAAGAAAAAUCUUAAGUGCUUGAAAUUAGUUUAAAAAAAACAACAAAGUCUGCUCAUUUUUUUCCAUUUAAUUAUUUUUGUCCUGAAACCAAGGGGUAAUUAUCUCUCUGUUGUUGUAUUUUUUUCUUUUCUUUUUUUUGCUCAAUUCUUAAAUAUCUGAAUUUUGAAAUGCUAACUGAAUGUCUUAUUCUUAUUUUGCCCCCUCCCUUUGGAAAAUAAGUGGCAUUAUGUCAUUUUUAACAGCAGGAAGAAAUAAAAUUGCAUUGGAAGGAAAUUCUAUGCUCAGUUGGAAAAAGAAAAGAUGUUUAAGGCAUUUAUUUUUAACCAGCUUUUAAAAAAUAUAUCUGAAAGUACUAAAUUCAAUUUCACAUGUCUAGAAUGGUAUAACCUAAUUUUAGCAUAUUAAUUAACAAUAAAAGUAGUGUUUUGCCUCAUACAAAGAAAUAAAAUAAUUAACUUACCGAGGAAAUGGGGGUCAUAUGAUUUUACUUUGAGAGAGUAAUGAAUGACGUUGAGUAACAGCAACAAAAAGGUUUUGCAAGGCAGCUCUGGCUGUGGAGUCUGUUUGGGAUUUUUUGUGAAAUACCCAACAGCCAACCAGUUUUCUCCAUCACCAAAUAUUACCUGUCUUGACCCAGACCAAACCAUGCGCACUUCAGCAAGGAUGACCUGUGUUCCUCAGGAGGAAUGCUGAGUUGAAGGCAGGCAAGAAUUUCAUGACUUUCAAGGACAGGCUGAGUGUACCAAUGUUCCCUGAGUCAAUAAACACCAAGAUGCCUUCUACUUGUGGAAGAAAUUCCAACAUUUUUGUAUUUUACAUAUUUGGACCUUUGAACUUGGAAUAUUUUGUCACACUUCACAUAGCUUCAUUCCCAGGGGGAAAAAAAAGCUAGUCUUUCAAGUGGUUAUUAUAAAGCUAAGUGCAUAAAUAUGCAUGAGAGGUCAUUAUUACCGCAAGAUGAUACUUAAAAGGUUCAAGUGUCUCUUACUAAGAUUUUUCAACUUGUUUGGUGACAGGAAAUCAAAGUCUCCAGUUUUUCGUUGCUGAACUUUGCCUUUGAUUGUUCUUUCAAAGUUUUCAAGAAAAUGGUUUCAGAGCUCUGACUGGCAUUCCUUCAUUCAUUCAUUCAACAGGUAAUUAAUAAGAUAUUUAACUACAAGUGUCCAUGUUUUAUACAGAAGGCCGUAUUUAAAGCAUUUGAGCCAGGUAGGCUGAGUUAUGGAAUUUCCAGAUUUUAGAGCUGGAACUAAGGCACAGAGAAGCUAAGUGAAUUGUCCCAUGUCAUGUCGCAUCAAGCCUGGAAAUCAGAUGUGACCCCCAAGCCAGGCCUCUGACCAAUGAGUCAGGGCCUCUGGAAGGCUUGAGAGCCCAAAGUGUAGACAUCCUGGGAUCCACAAUAAUGAAGAGUUGCAUUUUGACUCAUUUCUUACUUCUAGAACUUGAAAGUUCAAUGGAGAAAUUUUAUAUAGUGUUAUCAGAACCUUAAAAGCUCUUAAACAUGACAUUCUCAUUCAGAAUUGACUUCAGUUCACCCCAUGCUUUCGGCAAAUUUCCACCUGGUGAAGAUAACACGUUAGUCUUUCGGAUUAAUUCUCCAUGUGGCCCUGUUCUCCAUGGGGAAAGGAGAAAGGUGAUGGAAAAUAAAAUAGAGCAGGAGAGAGGAAACAGCUCCCACCUGCAGCCCCAUUUUCUCUCUCUCUGUGGGUAGGAAUACUCCUCAAGUAGUCUAUGGGGUCUGACGACAUUUUUAGUCUACAAAUUAACACAGAAAUAGCAAUUUACAAACAAUUCACAACAGCAAUCCUUUCUUACAGUUUUGCUCCUGGGCUCCCAAUCUCUGAUUUACAGAUCAAAUCUUUGGAAGGGGGAGCAGGUGGAUUCCAGGGUGAGAGCACGCGCUCUCCCAUUUACUGAGUCACCGCAUGAUGGAGCACCUGUGGUAUUUCACACUAGGCUCUCCCUGAAUCCUGAGGUUGAUCUUGCUUAAGGACAUUGCCGUAAAAGAGAACCUGUGAGAGACACAUGCGAGCUUUUUAAAAAUCAGGGCUGAAUUGAGGGUGAGAGCUCCCUCCGUCAACAGAGCUCUCAGAGGAAGUGUUGCUUCUGCAGUCUACUUCCAGAAAGCUCUCCAAGGGUGGAUCUCCCACACUCUCAUUGGUUAUUACCCAAAACUGACAUAUUUUAAAUUGAUUUCUGUUCUCUUCCAUCAUUUAGCCAGUCACGUGACCGUGGAGAUUAGUGGAAAGAGUGUGCACUGUGAGGCCGAUGUGGGUUUGAAUCUCUGCUCCUCCACCUAGUAGCCGUGGGGAAUUCAGGCAUGUGACCUAACUUGUCUGAGGCUCAGUUUCCUGUCCUGCAAACCACAAGUAAUCGUCACCUCUACUCCCAGGGGAUCAGGGUUAGAGGAGGUCACACACAGUGGGUUGGGUCCUGGAAGGUGCUCAACCGAGGCCCACCUCCGCCCUCAGCCUUCCCAAGGGAAGAAGUCUUGGGUUGUGUUAGAAGUCACCAUAGUCAUCCUCACAUGCCCCAUAAUCAUUUAUCUUAUUUGCAAAUCAUUUCUGUAUAUCCCUUUAUUGUUUCUUUGUUUUCUUUUAACAUUUUCUUGUUUUGUUAUUUUAACAUUUAUUAAAGCUGCCAAUAUUUAUAAUAAAUUUUCUGUUUGUAUUGUUUUUCUCUGCUCAGAUUGUGAUUCGAGUUUCAAAAGGACACAUUUUUUCAUUUUCAACACCCUUAUCAAUUCAGCAUUUUACCCACCUUAAAAGCUCAAGAAGUUUGCUGACAGACUCAAUGAUCAAAACAUCCCAAACCCAAGCUUUUUCUUUCAUUUUAAAUUACUCACACUGUCUUCCCUACACCCGAGAAUUGCAGGAUCAGAUGGGACCUCUACUGUCAUCAACAUCGCCUCUCUCCUAAGCCUGGGUGGGCCACAGGAAUAAUCAAUGCUAGAAAAACGUAGACGUAUGGAGACAUAGCACCGACCUCCGAAACAGCUCUGGCCAGACCCUUGGGCAUAUUGCUUUGAGAAGGAUAAAUUUCUACCAUGUGGAUGUGGGGUUUUCCCCAGGAUGAUUUUUCAUGGUACCCUGGGCUGCCCCUAAGGCUUCUGGGAAAUAAAUUCACAGUUCCCUGGUAA